UACGUAGGAUGCGAGCGUUAUCCGGAGUUACUGGGUGUAAAGGGAGCGCAGGCGGGACUGCAAGUUGGAUGUGAAAUGCCGCAGCUUAACUGCGGAGCUGCAUCCAAAACUGUAGUUCUUGAGUGGAGUAGAGGCAAGCGGAACUCCGAGUGUAGCGGUGAAAUGCGUAGAUAUUCGGAGGAACACCAGUGGCGAAGGCGGCUUGCUGGGCUCUAACUGACGCUGAGGCUCGAAAGUGUGGGGAGCAAACAGG
RNAcentral lists this ribosomal RNA (253 nucleotides) under uncultured bacterium. Its description in RNAcentral is "partial 16S ribosomal RNA". It matches the Rfam family "Bacterial small subunit ribosomal RNA", at positions 524 to 776 of the family's 1533-position model. The record is from RNAcentral.